GAGGUGGGGGGGCGAGGUGGGUCGGCCUGCUCCCACGCAGCGCCGCUGGUUGUUGUGGUCGACUUGUUUGGUUUCCUGGAAGGUGCAAAGCCUCCACCAGCAGGAGGGGGACGCGGCGCGCCUGGCAAAGCAUCUGAGAUUGUGUCGGAGUGGAGCGCAGCGGGAGGCUGAUGAAUGUAGCGGGAAAAACACGUCCCCAUUGUUACGGAAUCAUUUUUUUUUUUUGCCUUUUCAGAGUUUUAUGUGGAUUCAAGCUGUGAUUUUAAAUAUUCAUAUCAUUUGCCGAGAUCCUGCGUUUACCGCCGAGGACGUCUCGGUUUCCAGAGGGUGUGGAUUUGCAACGGGACAAUAAACCCGCCGCCUCCGGGGGAAACGAGUCCGCUUGUAUUAAUACUUUCUGUGCGGGUUGCUGUGGGACGGUUGCCGUUUCGCCGCAUCGCCGCAGGAACCCGUUAAAAACCCACCAAAGGGAACAACAUAAGAAUGUAUUUAGGAUGAGGCAGCCAGCAGCACCGGAGUCCCGUUAGGUCUCUGUGUCCGUCCCCGUCCCUCGGCGGUGUUCAUCUACGAAGCAUAAGCAUUUUAUCGCCGUCCUUUGCGUUUCCUUCCGGGGGGGGGUGGGCGGCCUCGCCAGGAGUCUCCUUUGUGCCUCGCCUCCCCUCGCAGGGCGAGCGGUCCCUUUUGUUUCCACCGUCAUUGUUUCAGAAUCGCCCUGUCGGCCAUUUUUUCCCUCGAGGCCGACCGUUGGAUAAAAGGACAUCAUCUCCCGCCGUGGUCUUCUGCUCACGUGUGACAGCAAAGAAUGAGCAAAAAGAGAAACAAUACUUAAGAACUCUGGUAUUGUUCUUUACCUCGUUUCCCAGGGGCACCGUUAUAUAUUUUGCUGGGCCCGUUCAAGGUUGCUGAGAUGAUUAAAAAGGGUGGAGAAGAAACACCGGCCGCUACAUGUUUGCCGUCACAUAAUUAACUCACUUUUCAAUGUACCGGACCGAGGUUUAUGAAAUGAAAAGUCAGCAGCGUCAGCUUUUAGUAACGAGGGAUCAAACUUCAUUCAUGCUUGUUUGCAGAGAGUCUCAGUGCUGCAGCAGAACCCGGAUAGUCGAUGUGUUCCACUUAAUUGUUUGUAAAACUUACUGUUGUAAGCAGUAAGCAGCGGAGACGAUGCACAGAACAAGUUUCGGUGCUCAACUUCCUCUAAAACUCUGAACAAAGUCAGUUAACGGAAUAGAACAUAUAUAAUAACAUCGCUACCGGUCUGCUCACGCGAUCAUGUGCUUCAAUGUCCACCUGCAGAUAGUGGAGAGUACAUUCCUGCAUGCAUGUAUGCACGCAUGCAAAUGCAUCGGAUGCUAAUAUUAGCGUUGCAGAUUUUAUAUGGGAAAGAGCAGGAAAGUGAACCCUUCGCUCCCUGACUUGAUGAAGACACAGUAGAGAAUAGAUUAGAUGGUCACCUGACCACCCGUAUGCUUGUUUUUGUAACGCUUAGUCCAUUCAGCCGAUUUCCCCUCACAUAUGUCUUUAAUGGAUCCUAAAAAUGUGAAAACGCGCGACGCCCGCUGUGAGCACUGUUGUUCAACCACCUCAGGAUAGCAAACGAUGUCAGAUCAUCUCCUUUUAUAGAGUGUUAAACUAAAGCUAAUCGACCAUUGUAGUGAAAAAUCCCCAUUGUCAAGGCCGUCCAAACGAAAGGACGUCUCCUCACCACGGCCUCCCUGCAGGUCGCUGCGUCCUUGUCUUCUCACACAUGCACAGCAGAGAGACAUCCUGUAUACAUCCAGUGCCUCAUCUAUACUUGCUUUGCAUAAUAUUUGAAUAUGUUUUUGGGUGCUGUGGGAUUUUAUGCAUGAAUUUUAAAUUCAGUGGUUUUGAAUGCAAACGGUUCAAUGUGUCGUCUCCCAGGCAACACUUUGUUUGAUUCAUUUUGCUUCAUAUUUUGUCCUGGAAGCUAUUCAAUUAAUCCAUUAGUUAUUUAAUUGGAAUUUUCCGUGUAAAAAAAAUAAAAUAAAAUGUUGUUCAACAUAAAACAUUUUUAGGUGAAUUCAGGUCAUAUUAUAAACGAGGAAGAGGUCUGUUUGUGUGCAGACUCCUUUAUCAUCAAUGCAUCUCACAUUCAAUGUGACCACGGAUAAUUAUUUUCACGUCCAGCGCAGAAGUUGACUGAUUGAAGUGUCUCAUCUCCUGGUGAAGAGGAUCUCAGCUGGACUGGAGACACGACGAGGACACACUCGUCACGUCCCCAGUCCACCUGUGGGAGCAUCUCCUGCUCUUUUUGUGUGUGUGUGUGUGUGUGUGUGCACGCUCAGGCCUUGCUGUCCAUACACCUUAUUUAAUAUUCAUAUGCAUGUUCUGCUGUGCCACUGCGAUGCAUCAGAAUACGUGUAUUCUAAGCUAUUCGUAUUUCUCAGGCCAACGAACGUGAACGCUUAAAUCCGCGUGUAUGAGCAGCAGUUUGUGGCUCACGUCCACCUCCGGAUGAACUUUUCACAGCACCUCCCGUGAGCUCAAAUCCAUAUUUAGCUGGUCCUCCACGGACCUGAAAUAAACAGUAAAUGUCGUAGCUUUUACCGCUCUGUUAGCAUUUAGCUAAAUUGAACAGAGACGUUUUUGAUUUUUUUUUUGUUUUUUGUCUCGCUGCGAAUUCAGAUUUACCUUUUUUAUUUUUAACAAUAUAUUUGUUUCACUUUUGUUGUAAGAUCAAACAUAAUAAGCAUCAGCAGUCAUAAACCGUUGGAUUUCCUUUUUUAAUCAUCCCGUGUUAAAUGGACUGUAAAAAAGCGUCGACCGCAUCCUGCUGGUGUCCAUGUGAAACCAUGUGAUUCUCAAUGGGAGAUGCGAGUCCAGUGUGCGCUGAGGACAAAGAGGAGGCCGUCCGUCUGAGUUAUGACGGUCGGUUUGUCCGGCGGACUCGACGUCCUGCUGCUGGAGACCAGCGCGUUCAUGUCCGGUCACGCUGAACGUUUAGUUCAACUCCCCCGCUGCCACGUCAGUCCUUUUAGUGUCACGAAUUCAUCUGCACACUUACGCUUCCAAGGGCCGCGGCGCCAUUUCCCCCACGUAAAACCGUAGAUCUUUGGUAAAAUCCACGGCGCUUUAUUGCUGUAAAUCACCGUCUUAACCGUAAUCCAGCCGGUCCGCGUCGAUCCGUCACAUUAACUGUAGCUGACAAUCGCCGCGGCUUAACGGGUCCUCAGGAGAUUUGUGGCUUUGUGGCCGUCGGCUAUCAGAGAGGAGCCGGAUCCACGUUGUCACGGGAGGAGCUGGAUCAUUACUGAGCGAGGUCCGCAUGAAAGCCACGGCAAUAAAACACGUCUCAUCUCCCACUGAUCUUCUUCUUUAAUGAAGAGAGCCUGUCAGCGUAAUUGUCCUGCUUGGUUUCCCCGCUGUUACGGAGUCACGAUCAGCGGACCAGAAGCUCAAGAGUCGCGCGCUUGGAAACGACGGUGACGCUUUUGAUGGAGGCGAUGGUGCAACGCGAGUGAACUGUGAAGACGUAAGGCGUAAAGAAUUCACCACAUGAUCUGGAAUCAGCACGGGCGGUGCAGUAAACGAUGGCGCUAAAAAUACCCCCCCCCCCCGCGCAUCAUGUGACUGUUUAAUAAACAGAAAGGGUCAUCGAUCGCAGUCGGACUGAAACGCGCCCGGGAGAGUAGAUCCGAAUAAAGCGAGUUAAUCAAAGGAGCAAGUUGCAGAUGGAACAUCCAUAUUAUUGAUGUGCCAUAAAUAAGAGGCACAUGUCCGACCCUCUGAGAGGCCGCUUCAGAUCACAACAUUAUUACAGCUGGCAAAGGCCUUGAUGCUUGCUACACACAAAAUAAUGCCAUUUCUGGUUAAAAUGUGACAUCUGUUACCAAGACUUUUACAUGACUUUGGGUCGGUUGUGGUAAUCUUUUUGUUAUGUAUCUUUGCGUAAACCUUUUUGGUACUUUUGUUGGUGAAACACUGCGGCUUUGGGCCACUGAGCGCAGACGCAACACGACUGAAGUUUUAUCACCAAAGACUGUUUAUACGGCUCGCCGUCGUGGCGAUAACCCAACCGCGCUGAAAUUGGACUUUUCAGUCAAUAACACUACAUGCGCUCCACAUUUAAAUCAGAACAAACGGUCGAUGGAAGAAAACGCUCCAAAAAAAA
This is a non-coding RNA of Gasterosteus aculeatus aculeatus (three-spined stickleback), 4129 nucleotides long. NCBI's taxonomy places the organism in Eukaryota, Metazoa, Chordata, Actinopteri, Perciformes, Gasterosteidae. The record is from RefSeq and is a predicted model, not a curated record.